Micropterus dolomieu (smallmouth bass) is the source of this 460-nucleotide long non-coding RNA. RefSeq lists it as uncharacterized. The record is from RefSeq and is a predicted model, not a curated record. NCBI's taxonomy places the organism in Eukaryota, Metazoa, Chordata, Actinopteri, Centrarchiformes, Centrarchidae. The transcript has 2 exons.
CAACCGCAAUGUUGACACGUUACACUUCAGUGCGUGUUAAAUUAAUAAAUUAGUGCUUCAAAAGUUCCACAACCGCAACAAGCUCUGUAACGGCUCAAGGACGGAUCACCAUGGGCUACGUGACCUGACUUGAAACUUGGAAGCUGUUUCUACUGUGUCUGCCUCUCCCCAGGUUCACUCACCCUCAUCCUCCGUUGAGUCGCCCACCUGCCCUCUCCCCUCGGACUUCCCCCACGGCUUCCUCCCGGGUCUCCCUCGUGCCUAGCCAGUCAGCCUGCCACCACACUCCUUCCCCCCUCGGCCUCCUGUUUCCCUCGGCCCUCUCGCCUGAACUUCCCCUCCCUCGCCAGCUCCUCGGUCCCUCACGCCCGCAUCCCCCGGUGUCCAUCUCUCCUCCAUCUCCAGCCCAUUGCCCCCCCCCCCCCCCUUUUCCCUCAAUAAAUCAGUUAAAAUACCAAGA